RNAcentral lists this ribosomal RNA (253 nucleotides) under uncultured prokaryote. RNAcentral's name for it is "partial 16S ribosomal RNA". It matches the Rfam family "Bacterial small subunit ribosomal RNA", at positions 525 to 777 of the family's 1533-position model. The record is from RNAcentral.
ACGGAGGGUGCAAGCGUUAUCCGGAUUUACUGGGUUUAAAGGGUGCGCUGGCGGAUAUGUAAGUCAGUGGUGAAAUCUCCGGGCUUAACCCGGAAACUGCCGUUGAUACUAUAUAUCUUGAAUGCUGUGGAGGUAAGCAGAAUAUGUCAUGUAGCGGUGAAAUGCUUAGAGAUGACAUAGAAUACCUAUUGCGAAGGCAGCUUACUACGCAGAUAUUGACGCUCAUGCACGAAAGCGUGGGGAUCAAACAGGA